This is a long non-coding RNA of Dermochelys coriacea (leatherback sea turtle), 197 nucleotides long. RefSeq lists it as uncharacterized. NCBI's taxonomy places the organism in Eukaryota, Metazoa, Chordata, Testudines, Dermochelyidae. The record is from RefSeq and is a predicted model, not a curated record. The transcript is spliced from 4 exons.
GUUUGAGGUAGUUGGACUUAUUUUGGACUCUCCCUCUGGAUACAUCUUGCAGUCCCCACCGGCAGACAGAAGAUUUGGCCACCGGAAGCCUGCCGCUGUGCCACUCGAGAGCCACACUCAGCUUUGGUAAUUAUCAACAGUUGGGGGUGUUUUACGAACCUUUUGCGUCGUGUAGGGAAAGAGUGUUAAUACUGGUG